AGUCGAGCGAGCUUGCCUAGAUGAUUUUAGUGCUUGCACUAAAUGAAACUAGAUACAAGCGAGCGGCGGACGGGUGAGUAACACGUGGGUAACCUGCCCAAGAGACUGGGAUAACACCUGGAAACAGAUGCUAAUACCGGAUAACAACACUAGACGCAUGUCUAGAGUUUGAAAGAUGGUUCUGCUAUCACUCUUGGAUGGACCUGCGGUGCAUUAGCUAGUUGGUAAGGUAACAGCUUACCAAGGCAAUGAUGCAUAGCCGAGUUGAGAGACUGAUCGGCCACAUUGGGACUGAGACACGGCCCAAACUCCUACGGGAGGCAGCAGUAGGGAAUCUUCCACAAUGGACGAAAGUCUGAUGGAGCAACGCCGCGUGAGUGAAGAAGGGUUUCGGCUCGUAAAGCUCUGUUGGUAGUGAAGAAAGAUAGAGGUAGUAACUGGCCUUUAUUUGACGGUAAUUACUUAGAAAGUCACGGCUAACUACGUGCCAGCAGCCGCGGUAAUACGUAGGUGGCAAGCGUUGUCCGGAUUUAUUGGGCGUAAAGCGAGUGCAGGCGGUUCAAUAAGUCUGAUGUGAAAGCCUUCGGCUCAACCGGAGAAUUGCAUCAGAAACUGUUGAACUUGAGUGCAGAAGAGGAGAGUGGAACUCCAUGUGUAGCGGUGGAAUGCGUAGAUAUAUGGAAGAACACCAGUGGCGAAGGCGGCUCUCUGGUCUGCAACUGACGCUGAGGCUCGAAAGCAUGGGUAGCGAACAGGAUUAGAUACCCUGGUAGUCCAUGCCGUAAA
Molecule: ribosomal RNA, 786 nt
Filed under: uncultured bacterium
Lineage: Bacteria
Description: bacterial SSU rRNA
Rfam family: Bacterial small subunit ribosomal RNA
Source: RNAcentral